ACCCGCUGAACUUAAGCAUAUCAAUAAGCGGAGGAAAAGAAACCAACAGGGAUUGCCCUAGUAACGGCGAGUGAAGCGGCAACAGCUCAAAUUUGAAAUCUGGCGUCUUCGGCGUCCGAGUUGUAAUUUGCAGAGGGCGCUUUGGCAUUGGCAGCGGUCCAAGUUCCUUGGAACAGGACGUCACAGAGGGUGAGAAUCCCGUACGUGGUCGCUAGCCUUUACCGUGUAAAGCCCCUUCGACGAGUCGAGUUGUUUGGGAAUGCAGCUCUAAAUGGGAGGUAAAUUUCUUCUAAAGCUAAAUACUGGCCAGAGACCGAUAGCGCACAAGUAGAGUGAUCGAAAGAUGAAAAGCACUUUGGAAAGAGAGUUAAAAAGCACGUGAAAUCGUUGAAAGGGAAGCGCUUGCAGCCAGACUUGCCUGUAGUUGCUCAUCCGGGUUUCUACCCGGUGCACUCUUCUAUAGGCAGGCCAGCAUCAGUUUGGGCGGUUGGAUAAAGGUCUCUGUCAUGUACCUCUCUUCGGGGAGAACUUAUAGGGGAGACGACAUGCAACCAGCCUGGACUGAGGUCCGCGCAUCUGCUAGGAUGCUGGCGUAAUGGCUGUAAGCGGCCCGUCUUGAAACACGGACCAAGGAGUCUAACAUCUAUGCGAGUGUUUGGGUGUCAAGCCCGAGCGCGUAAUGAAAGUGAACGGAGGUGGGAACCUUUCGGGGUGCACCAUCGACCGAUCCUGAUGUCUUCGGAUGGAUUUGAGUAAGAGCAUAGCUGUUGGGACCCGAAAGAUGGUGAACUAUGCUUGAAUAGGGUGAAGCCAGAGGAAACUCUGGUGGAGGCUCGCAGCGGUUCUGACGUGCAAAUCGAUCGUCAAAUUUGGGCAUAGGGGCGAAAGACUAAUCGAACUAUCUAGUAGCUGGUUCCUGCCGAAGUUUCCCUCAGGA
Molecule: ribosomal RNA, 937 nt
Filed under: Didymella curtisii
Lineage: Eukaryota; Fungi; Ascomycota; Dothideomycetes; Pleosporales; Didymellaceae
Description: partial large subunit ribosomal RNA
Rfam family: Eukaryotic large subunit ribosomal RNA
Source: RNAcentral